Molecule: long non-coding RNA, 419 nt
Organism: Etheostoma spectabile (orangethroat darter)
Lineage: Eukaryota; Metazoa; Chordata; Actinopteri; Perciformes; Percidae
Exons: 4
Source: RefSeq, a predicted model, not a curated record
GACUGAGUAGCUGUACAUUGUCAAAGAGAAACUGUAAAGCUCUGUCUUCAGUUCUCAGCUCCCAGUCCUCUAGUCUGAGAGAGCUGGACCUGAGUAACAACUACCUGCGGGAUCAGGAGUGAAGCAUCUAUCUUCUGGAUUGAAGAGUCCACCACUGCAGACUGGAAACUCUCAGUCUCUGUGGCUGUCUGAUCUCAGAGGAAGGUUGUUCUUCUCUGGCCUCAGCUCUGAGCUCCAACCCCUCCCAUCUGAGAGUGCUGGACCUGAGCUACAAUCAUCCAGGAGACUCAGGAGUGAAGCAGCUUUCUGUUUUACUGGAGGAUCCAAACUGCAGAUUGGACACUCUCAGGGUGGACCAUGGUGGACCUCAGAGACUGAGACCUGGUCCGAGGAAGUAUGUCUGUGAACUGGAACUGGAC